GAGUUUGAUCUUGGCUCAGAUUGAACGCUGGCGGCAUGCCUUACACAUGCAAGUCGAACGGCAGCAUGAUCUAGCUUGCUAGAUUGAUGGCGAGUGGCGAACGGGUGAGUAAUACAUCGGAACGUGCCCUGUAGUGGGGGAUAACUAGUCGAAAGAUUAGCUAAUACCGCAUACGACCUGAGGGUGAAAGUGGGGGACCGCAAGGCCUCAUGCUAUAGGAGCGGCCGAUGUCUGAUUAGCUAGUUGGUGGGGUAAAGGCCCACCAAGGCGACGAUCAGUAGCUGGUCUGAGAGGACGAUCAGCCACACUGGGACUGAGACACGGCCCAGACUCCUACGGGAGGCAGCAGUGGGGAAUUUUGGACAAUGAGCGAAAGCCUGAUCCAGCAAUGCCGCGUGUGUGAAGAAGGCCU
RNAcentral lists this ribosomal RNA (412 nucleotides) under uncultured microorganism. RNAcentral's name for it is "bacterial SSU rRNA". It matches the Rfam family "Bacterial small subunit ribosomal RNA", at positions 9 to 417 of the family's 1533-position model. The record is from RNAcentral.